RNAcentral lists this long non-coding RNA (906 nucleotides) under Mus caroli (Ryukyu mouse). RNAcentral describes it as "lncRNA (MGP_CAROLIEiJ_G0005051.1)". The record is from RNAcentral. Lineage: Eukaryota; Metazoa; Chordata; Mammalia; Rodentia; Muridae.
GCGGGCCACCGGGUCCGGGUCGCCACCGGGGCUGGGUCAGUCGGUACCUUCAUGAAGGUCUCUACCGCGCCUUUGGCCGUGUCCAGAUCAUAAUAGUGAUACUGAGAACAACAACAAAAUUAACAAGCAUAAAAUUGGAUAUGAAAUUGCACAAACAAGGUUGCGAUUGCUGCAAGGCUUUUUUUUUUUUUUUUUUUUUGCCAGGCUUUCCUGUAUGACUCGGAACUGUUUGCAAUCACCUCCUCCCUUUCCAGGAGAUAUGGAGCAAAUGGAUGGAGCUAGAAAAUACGUCAUCUUGAGCAAGGUAACCCAGACCAAAAGACAAGUAUGCUCUGGGGCUCACACGUGUUAGCUGAGGACCUGCCACUGAGCCCUCAGCCUCAGAUACUGUUAACUAAGGCACAGCAGAGGUAAAGGUGAAGUGUUUUCCUAAGGCUCUAAGGUGGCCCAGGCUCCAGUGAAAGUUUUGAGGGAGGGAAAGUGGUCUCCCCACUUCAUGAAGUCAGAGCAGAUCACACCUACAACGAGGAGAACACAAUUUGGAUGAAGAGAAAACAAGAACAAAAGCUGUCACAGAGAGCUAAGGGGAGUGACUGCAAAGUGUGGAGCCAGUGACUUGGCCACACUUUGAUGAAGUGGCUGCAGGUCUUCUCUUCAUGGUUUACACAAGCCAUUAGAGCAUCUUCUCGCGGAAACCAUUUGACUCUGCAGUGUUGCUGCUUUGAGCUGUCAGAGGAUGGAAAGUGGUCCCUGCAAUGAGAACAGGGUCUGCUACGGAGACACAGAAAGCUCUUAAAGCAUUUGGUCACCUUAGGGUGUGACAUUAUCUAUUAUUGCUUUGAAAAGACUACAGUAGCUGUUCUGUGGGUGGCUUGGAAAGAACAAGGCUGGACCAGCGAGAAACUC